GUAAGGGGAGACAUGACAUAUAUAUAUAUAUAAUACACGGAGGUUAGCAGUGAGUAUAAAGGUGUGAGGUAAGGGGAGACAUGACAUAUAUAUAUAUAAUACAGGGAGGUUAGCUGUGAGUAUAAAGGUGUGAGGUAAGGGGAGACAUGACAUAUAUAUAUAUAUAAUACAGGGAGGUUAGCUGUGUGUAUAAAGGUGUGAGGUAAGGGGAGACAUGACAUAUAUAUAUAUAUAUAUAUAUAAUACAGGGAGGUUAGCAGUGAGUAUAAAGGUGUGAGGUAAGGGGAGACAUGACAUAUAUAUAUAUAAUACAGGGAGGUUAGCAGUGAGUAUAAAGGUGUGAGGUAAGGGGAGACAUGACAUAUAUAUAUAUAUAAUACAGGGAGGUUAGCAGUGAGUAUAAAGGUGUGAGGUAAGGGGAGACAUGACAUAUAUAUAUAUAUAUAUAAUACAGGGAGGUUAGCAGUGAGUAUAAAGGUGUGAGGUAAGGGGAGACAUGACAUAUAUAUAUAUAUAUAAUACAGGGAGGUUAGCAGUGAGUAUAAAGGUGUGAGGUAAGGGGAGACAUGACAUAUAUAUAUAUAUAAUACAGGGAGGUGAGCAGUGAGUAUAAAGGUGUGAGGUAAGGGGAGACAUGACAUAUAUAUAUAUAUAUAAUACAGGGAGGUUAGCAGUGAGUAUAAAGGUGUGAGGUAAGGGGAGACAUGACAUAUAUAUAUAUAAUACAGGGAGGUGAGCAGUGAGUAUAAAGGUGUGAGGUAAGGGGAGACAUGACAUAUAUAUAUAUAUAAUACAGGGAGGUGAGCAGUGAGUAUAAAGGUGUGAGGCAAGGGGAGACAUGACAUAUAUAUAUAUAUAUAAUACAGGGAGGUUAGCAGUGAGUAUAAAGUGUGAGGUAAGGGGAGACAUGACAUAUAUAUAUAUAUAAUACAGGGAGGUUAGCAGUGAGUAUAAAGGUGUGAGGUAAGGGGAGACAUGACAUAUAUAUAUAUAUAUAUAAUACAGGGAGGUUAGCAGUGAGUAUAAAGGUGUGAGGUAAGGGGAGACAUAACAUAUAUAUAUAUAAUACACGGAGGUUAGCAGUGAGUAUAAAGGUGUGAGGUAAGGGGAGACAUGACAUAUAUAUAUAUAAUACAGGGAGGUUAGCUGUGAGUAUAAAGGUGUGAGGUAAGGGGAGACAUGACAUAUAUAUAUAUAUAAUACAGGGAGGUUAGCAGUGAGUAUAAAGGUGUGAGGUAAGGAGAGACAUGACAUAUAUAUAUAUAUAUAUAUAUAUAUAUAUAUAUAUAUAUAUAUAUAUAAUUCAGGGAGGUUAGCAGUGAGUAUAAAGGUGUGAGGUAAGGGGAGACAUGACAUAUAUAUAUAUAAUACAGGGAGGUUAGCAGAGAGUAUAAAGGUGUGAGGUAAGGGGAGACAUGACAUAUAUAUAUAUAAUACAGGGAGGUUAGCAGUGAAUAUAAAGUGUGAGGUAAGGGGAGACAUGACAUAUAUAUAUAAUACAGGGAGGUUAGCAGUGAGUAUAAAGGUGUGAGGUAAGAGGAGACAUGACACAUAUAUAUAUAUAUAUAAAAUACAGGGAGGUUAGCAGUGAGUAUAAAGGUGUGAGGUAAGGGGAGACAUGACAUAUAUAUAUAUAUAAUACAGGGAGGUUAGCUGUGAGUAUAAAGGUGUGAGGUAAGGGGAGACAUGACAUAUAUAUAUAUAUAUAAUACAGGGAGGUUAGCAGUGAGUAUAAAGGUGUGAGGUAAGGGGAGACAUGACAUAUAUAUAUAUAAUACAGGGAGGUUAGCUGUGAGUAUAAAGGUGUGAGGUAAGGGGAGACAUGACAUAUAUAUAUAUAUAUAUAUAUAAUACAGGGAGGUUAGCAGUGAGUAUAAAGGUGUGAGGUAAGGGGAGACAUGACAUAUAUAUAUAUAUAAUACAGGGAGGUUAGCAGUGAGUAUAAAGUGUGAGGUAAGGGGAGACAUGACAUAUAUAUAUAUAUACAGGGAGGUUAGCAGUGAGUAUAAAGGUGUGAGGUAAGGGGAGACAUGACAUAUAUAUAUAUAUAAUACAGGGAGGUUAGCAGUGAGUAUAAAGGUGUGAGGUAAGGGGAGACAUGACACAUAUAUAUAUAAUACAGGGAGGUUAGCAGUGAGUAUAAAGGUGUGAGGUAAGGGGAGACAUGACAUAUAUAUAUAUAUAUAUAUAAUACAGGGAGGUUAGCAGUGAGUAUAAAGGUGUGAGGUAAGGGGAGACAUGACAUAUAUAUAUAUAUAAUACACGGAGGUUAGCAGUGAGUAUAAAGGUGUGAGGUAAGGGGAGACAUGACAUAUAUAUAUAUAAUACAGGGAGGUUAGCUGUGAGUAUAAAGGUGUGAGGUAAGGGGAGACAUGACAUAUAUAUAUAUAAUACAGGGAGGUUAGCAGUGUGUAUAAAGGUGUGAGGUAAGGGGAGACAUGACAUAUAUAUAUAUAUAUAAUACAGGGAGGUUAGCAGUGAGUAUAAAGGUGUGAGGUAAGGGGAGACAUGACAUAUAUAUAUAUAAUACAGGGAGGUUAGCAGAGAGUAUAAAGGUGUGAGGUAAGGGGAGACAUGACAUAUAUAUAUAUAAUACAGGGAGGUUAGCAGAGAGUAUAAAGGUGUGAGGUAAGGGGAGACAUGACAUAUAUAUAUAUAUAAUACAGGGAGGUUAGCAGUGAGUAUAAAGGUGUGAGGUAAGGGGGAGAUAUGACAUAUAUAUAUAAAAUAUAGGGAGGUUAGCAGUGAGUACACAGGUGUGAGGUAAGGGGAGACAUGAUAUAUAUAUAUAUAUAAUACAGGGAGGUUAGCAGUGAGUAUAAAGGUGUGAGGCAAGGGGAGACAUGACAUAUAUAUAUAUAUAAUACAGGGAGGUUAGCAGUGAGUACACAGGUGUGAGGUAAGGGGAGACAUGACAUAUAUAUAUAUAUAAUACAGGGAGGUUAGCAGUGAGUACACAGGUGUGAGGCAAGGGGAGACAUGGCAUAUAUAUAUAUAUAUAAUACAGGGAGGUUAGCGGUGAGUAUAAAGGUGUGAGGUAAGGGGAGACAUGACAUAUAUAUAUAUAAUACAGGGAGGUUAGCAGUGAGUAUAAAGGUGUGAGGUAAGGGGAGACAUGACAUAUAUAUAUAUAUAUAUAUAAUACAGGGGGUUAGCAGUGAGUAUAAAGGUGUGAGGUAAGGGGAGACAUGACACAUAUAUAUAUAAUACAGGGAGGUUAGCAGUGAGUAUAAAGGUGUGAGGUAAGGGGAGACAUGACAUAUAUAUAUAUAAUACAGGGAGGUUAGCAGUGAGUAUAAAGGUGUGAGGUAAGGGGAGACAUGACAUAUAUAUAUAUAUAAUACAGGGAGGUUAGCAGUGAGUAUAAAGGUGUGAGGUAAGGGGAGACAUGACAUAUAUAUAUAUAUAUAUAAUACAGGGAGGUUAGCAGUGAGUAUAAAGGUGUGAGGUAAGGGGAGACAUUACAUAUAUAUAUAUAUAAUACAGGGAGGUUAGCAGUGAGUAUAAAGUGUGAGGUAAGGGGAGACAUGACAUAUAUAUAUAAUACAGGGAGGUUAGCAGUGAGUAUAAAGUGUGAGGUAAGGGGAGACAUGACAUAUAUAUAUAUAUAAUACAGGGAGGUUAGCAGUGAGUAUAAAGGUGUGAGGUAAGGGGAGACAUGACAUAUAUAUAUAUAUAUAAUACAGGGAGGUUAGCAGUGAGUAUAAAGGUGUGAGGUAAGGGGAGACAUAACAUAUAUAUAUAUAUAAUACAGGGAGGUUAGCUGUGAGUAUAAAGGUGUGAGGUAAGGGGAGACAUGACAUAUAUAUAUAUAUAAUACAGGGAGGUUAGCAGCGAGUAUAAAGGUGUGAGGUAAGGGGAGACAUGACAUAUAUAUAUAUAUAAUACACGGAGGUUAGCAGUGAGUAUAAAGGUGUGAGGUAAGGGGAGACAUGACAUAUAUAUAUAAUACAGGGAGGUUAGCAGUGAGUAUAAAGGUGUGAGGUAAGGGGAGACAUGACAUAUAUAUAUAUAAUACAGGGAGGUUAGCAGUGAGUAUAAAGGUGUGAGGUAAGGGGAGACAUGACAUAUAUAUAUAUAAUACACGGAGGUUAGCAGUGAGUAUAAAGGUGUGAGGUAAGGGGAGACAUGACAUAUAUAUAUAUAAUACAGGGAGGUUAGCUGUGAGUAUAAAGGUGUGAGGUAAGGGGAGACAUGACAUAUAUAUAUAUAAUACAGGGAGGUUAGCAGUGAGUAUAAAGGUGUUAGGUAAGGGGAGACAUGACAUAUAUAUAUAUAUAUAUAUAUAUAUAUAUAUAUAUAUAUAUAUAUAUAUAUAAUACAGGGAGGUUAGCAGUGAGUAUAAAGGUGUGAGGUAAGGGGAGACAUGACAUAUAUAUAUAUAUAAUACAGGGAGGUUAGCAGAGAGUAUAAAGGUGUGAGGUAAGGGGAGACAUGACAUAUAUAUAUAUAAUACAGGGAGGUUAGCAGUGAAUAUAAAGUGUGAGGUAAGGGGAGACAUGACAUAUAUAUAUAAUACAGGGAGGUUAGCAGUGAGUAUAAAGGUGUGAGGUAAGAGGAGACAUGACACAUAUAUAUAUAUAUAUAAAAUACAGGGAGGUUAGCAGUGAGUAUAAAGGUGUGAGGUAAGGGGAGACAUGACAUAUAUAUAUAUAUAAUACAGGGAGGUUAGCAGUGAGUAUAAAGGUGUGAGGUAAGGGGAGACAUGACAUAUAUAUAUAUAUAUAAUACAGGGAGGUUAGCUGUGAGUAUAAAGGUGUGAGGUAAGGGGAGACAUGACAUAUAUAUAUAUAUAUAUAUAAUACAGGGAGGUUAGCUGUGAGUAUAAAGGUGUGAGGUAAGGGGAGACAUGACAUAUAUAUAUAUAUAUAUAUAUAUAAUACAGGGAGGUUAGCAGUGAGUAUAAAGGUGUGAGGUAAGGGGAGACAUUACAUAUAUAUAUAUAUAUAAUACAGGGAGGUUAGCAGUGAGUAUAAAGGUGUGAGGUAAGGGGAGACAUGACAUAUAUAUAUAUAAUACAGGGAGGUUAGCAGUGAGUACAAAGGUGUGAGGUAAGGGGAGACAUGACAUAUAUAUAUAUAUAUAAUACAGGGAGGUUAGCAGUGAGUAUAAAGGUGUGAGGUAAGGGGAGACAUGACAUAUAUAUAUAUAAUACACGGAGGUUAGCAGUGAGUAUAAAGGUGUGAGGUAAGGGGAGACAUGACAUAUAUAUAUAUAAUACAGGGAGGUUAGCAGUGAGUACAAAGGUGUGAGGUAAGGGGAGACAUGACAUAUAUAUAUAUAUAUAAUACAGGGAGGUUAGCAGUGAGUAUAAAGGUGUGAGGUAAGGGGAGACAUGACAUAUAUAUAUAUAAUACACGGAGGUUAGCAGUGAGUAUAAAGGUGUGAGGUAAGGGGAGACAUGACAUAUAUAUAUAUAAUACAGGGAGGUUAGCUGUGAGUAUAAAGGUGUGAGGUAAGGGGAGACAUGACAUAUAUAUAUAUAAUACAGGGAGGUUAGCAGUGAGUAUAAAGGUGUGAGGUAAGGGGAGACAUGACAUAUAUAUAUAUAUAUAAUACAGGGAGGUUAGCAGUGAAUAUAAAGGUGUGAGGUAAGGGGAGACAUGACAUAUAUAUAUAUAAUACAGGGAGGUUAGCAGAGAGUAUAAAGGUGUGAGGUAAGGGGAGACAUGACAUAUAUAUAUAUAAUACAGGGAGGUUAGCAGUGAAUAUAAAGUGUGAGGUAAGGGGAGACAUGACAUAUAUAUAUAUAUAAUACAGGGAGGUUAGCUGUGAGUAUAAAGGUGUGAGGUAAGAGGAGACAUGACACAUAUAUAUAUAUAUAUAAAAUACAGGGAGGUUAGCAGUGAGUAUAAAGGUGUGAGGUAAGGGGCGACAUGACAUAUAUAUAUAUAAUACAGGGAGGUGAGCAGUGAGUAUAAAGGUGUGAGGUAAGGGGAGACAUGACAUAUAUAUAUAUAUAAUACAGGGAGGUGAGCAGUGAGUAUAAAGGUGUGAGGUAAGGGGAGACAUGACAUAUAUAUAUAUAUAAUACAGGGAGGUGAGCAGUGAGUAUAAAGGUGUGAGGCAAGGGGAGACAUGACAUAUAUAUAUAUAUAUAAUACAGGGAGGUUAGCAGUGAGUAUAAAGGUGUGAGGUAAGGGGAGACAUGACAUAUAUAUAUAUAUAAAAUACAGGGAGGUUAGCAGUGAGUAUAAAGGUGUGAGGUAAGGGGAGACAUGACAUAUAUAUAUAUAAUACAGGGAGGUUAGCAGUGAGUAUAAAGGUGUGCGGUAAGAGGAGACAUGACAUAUAUAUAUAUAUAAUACAGGGAGGUUAGCAGUGACUAUAAAGGUGUGAGGUAAGGGGAGACAUGACAUAUAUAUAUAUAUAAUACAGGGAGGUAAGCAGUGUGUACACAGGUGUGAGGUAAGGGGAGACAUGACAUAUAUAUAUAUAUAAUACAGGGAGGUUAGCAGUGAGUAUAAAGGUGUGAGGUAAGGGGAUACAUGACAUAUAUAUAUAUAAUACAGGGAGGUUAGCAGUGAGUAUAAAGGUGUGAGGUAAGGGGAGACAUGACAUAUAUAUAUAUAUAUAUAUAUAUAUAAUACAGGGAGGUUAGCAGUGAGUAUAAAGGUGUGAGGUAAGGGGAUACAUGACAUAUAUAUAUAUAUAUAUAUAUAUAUAUAAUACAGGGAGGUAAGCAGUGUGUACACAGGUGUGAGGUAAGGGGAGACAUGACAUAUAUAUAUAUAUAAUACAGGGAGGUUAGCAGUGAGUAUAAAGGUGUGAGGUAAGGGGAGACAUGACAUAUAUAUAUAUAAUACAGGGAGGUAAGCAGUGUGUACACAGGUGUGAGGUAAGGGGAGACAUGACAGAUAUAUAUAUAUAUAUAAUACAGGGAGGUAAGCAGUGAGUAUAAAGGUGUGAGGUAAGGGGAGACAUGACAUAUAUAUAUAUAUAUAUAUAAUACACGGAGGUGAGCAGUGAGUAUAAAGGUGUGAGGUAAGGGGAGACAUGACAUAUAUAUAUAUAAUACAGGGAGGUUAGCAGUGAGUAUAAAGGUGUGAGGUAAGGGGAGACAUGACAUAUAUAUAUAUAUAUAUAAUACAGGGAGGUUAGCAGUGAGUAUAAAGGUGUGAGGUAAGGGGAGACAUGACAUAUAUAUAUAUAAUACAGGGAGGUUAGCAGUGAAUAUAAAGGUGUGAGGUAAGGGGAUACAUGACAUAUAUAUAUAUAUAUAUAUAUAAUACAGGGAGGUUAGCAGUGAGUAUAAAGGUGUGAGGUAAGGGGAUACAUGACACAUAUAUAUAUAAUACAGGGAGGUUAGCAGUGAGUAUAAAGGUGUGAGGUAAGGGGAGACAUGACAUAUAUAUAUAUAUAUAAUACAGGGAGGUUAGCAGUGAAUAUAAAGGUGUGAGGUAAGGGGAGACAUGACAUAUAUAUAUAUAUAUAUAUAUAUAUAUAUAUAUAUAUAAUACAGGGAGGUUAGCAGUGAGUAUAAAGGUGUGAGGUAAGGGGAUACAUGACAUAUAUAUAUAUAUAUAUAUAAUACAGGGAGGUUAGCAGUGAGUAUAAAGGUGUGAGGUAAGGGGAGACAUGACAUAUAUAUAUAUAUAAUACAGGGAGGUUAGCAGUGAGUAUAAAGGUGUGAGGUGAGGGGAGACAUGACAUAUAUAUAUAUAAUACAGGGAGGUUAGCAGUGAGUAUAAAGGUGUGAGGUAAGGGGAGACAUGACAUAUAUAUAUAUAAUACAGGGAGGUUAGCGGUGAGUAUAAAGGUGUGAGGUAAGAGGAGACAUGACAUAUAUAUAUAUAAUACAGGGAGGUUAGCAGUGAGUAUAAAGGUGUGAGGUAAGGGGAGACAUGACACAUAUAUAUAUAUAUAAUACAGGGAGGUUAGCGGUGAGUAUAAAGGUGUGAGGUGAGGGGAGACAUGACAUAUAUAUAUAUAUAUAUAAUACAGGGAGGUAAGCAGUGUGU
Bombina bombina (fire-bellied toad) is the source of this 7961-nucleotide long non-coding RNA. RefSeq lists it as uncharacterized. The record is from RefSeq and is a predicted model, not a curated record. Lineage: Eukaryota; Metazoa; Chordata; Amphibia; Anura; Bombinatoridae. The transcript is spliced from 3 exons.